AGCGAACGCUGGCGGCAGGCUUAACACAUGCAAGUCGAGCGGGCGUAGCAAUACGUCAGCGGCAGACGGGUGAGUAACGCGUGGGAACAUACCUUUUGGUUCGGAACAACACAGGGAAACUUGUGCUAAUACCGGAUAAGCCCUUACGGGGAAAGAUUUAUCGCCGAAAGAUUGGCCCGCGUCUGAUUAGCUAGUUGGUGAGGUAACGGCUCACCAAGGCGACGAUCAGUAGCUGGCUGAGAGGAUGAUCAGCCACAUUGGGACUGAGACACGGCCCAAACUCCUACGGGAGGCAGCAGUGGGGAAUAUUGGACAAUGGGCGCAAGCCUGAUCCAGCCAUGCCGCGUGAGUGAUGAAGGCCCUAGGGUUGUAAAGCUCUUUGUGCGGGAAGAUAAUGACGGUACCGCAAGAAUAAGCCCCGGCUAACUUCGUGCCAGCAGCCGCAGUAAU
This 450-nucleotide ribosomal RNA is filed under the name uncultured bacterium. Its description in RNAcentral is "bacterial SSU rRNA". It matches the Rfam family "Bacterial small subunit ribosomal RNA", at positions 29 to 524 of the family's 1533-position model. The record is from RNAcentral.